AAAAAAGAUGAUCGGAGGAUUGAAAUAGUUGUCUUGUUGAGGAUUAUUUAUAAUUUUGGUGGUCUAUAACUCUACAUAACAUGGAAAGUGAUUAAUAAGGGCCUUAUCUUAAAAAUAUUCAUAGGCUAAUUAGAAGGAGAUUUAUUGAGAGGAGAAUUUCUAUUAUAAUAGUAAAUGUAUGAGAUUGAAUGCUAUUAUUGAUUACUCUUUAAGAAAACAACAACUAAAAAAGAAAAAUUGGCCAAAAAUUUUAUUUACCAGAAUGCCUCUGCUGUUCUAAUAAGUAUCACUUCUCUAAAAAAUUGAAAAAUAAAUGUAAGAAUAAUGAAUAAACAAAACUUAGAAUUAUAUAUAGGUAACCAUUAUAGUUAAUGUUUUGGGUUUAGUGCAUUCGAAAUACCCUUCAUUUUAAAAAUAUUAACUGCGGUUUAAAAUAAUAUGACGAUGCAGUUAAAAUAUGAAAUAAAAUCUAGCAAAAAAAGGCAAAUGAAUCACCGAUGGUAAAUAGUGUCAGUUUUCCGUAUUUGCAUGAAUUUUAUAUUUUAUAUUGGUAUGUUGACUUGUUUGCCAUAUUUUAAAGACAAUUUCUUCUGGAG
Molecule: unclassified non-coding RNA, 596 nt
Filed under: Hevea brasiliensis (rubber tree)
Lineage: Eukaryota; Viridiplantae; Streptophyta; Magnoliopsida; Malpighiales; Euphorbiaceae
Source: RNAcentral